Molecule: ribosomal RNA, 405 nt
Filed under: Triticum aestivum (bread wheat)
Lineage: Eukaryota; Viridiplantae; Streptophyta; Magnoliopsida; Poales; Poaceae
Description: partial small subunit ribosomal RNA
Source: RNAcentral
AUGCCUUCUCUGGUACACCUGCAACUCCUUGGUUGCACAUACUGUUUGCUUCCCCUUAUUGUGAAAAUGCCUUCUCUCAUACACCUGCAACUCCUUGGUUGCAACCGGUCUCUCAGGAGAAGAAAUCACCGUAGGGCAGGGAAUGGUUCCCACAACUCCUUCCUCUCCCAUAGUGCCUCUAACAAUUGCUUAUUCUCCCAUAGUGCCUCCACUACCCCCCUCUCUCCUGUCACCACUCUUAAUGUCAUCACCCUCAAUGACUGGGGAGAAUUCACCCAAAAACUGCUCCAGGUCCCCUGCAUUCUUGUAGUAUGGCUCAGACUCCCGAAAAGUCACAUCCAUACUCACAACAACUUCUUCUCAACUGGAUUACAGCACAUAUAUCCCUUCUUUUUUGGCGCAUAG